GAAAUGCGAUAAGUAAUGUGAAUUGCAGAAUUCAGUGAAUCAUCGAUUCUUUGAACGCACAUUGCGCCCCCUGGCAUUCCGGGGGGCAUGCCUGUUCGAGCGUCAUUACACCACUCAAGCCUGGCUUGGUAUUGAGCGCCGCGGCCUGCCCGCGCGCUCCAAUGUCUCCGGCUGAGCCGUCCGUCUCUAAGCGUUGUGAAUAGCGAUCGCUUGCGAGGCCCGGGCGGUUCGACGCCGUUAAACCCCCCAUUUUCUAUGGUUGACCUCGGAUCAGGUAGGGAUACCCGCUGAACUUAAGC
Molecule: unclassified non-coding RNA, 299 nt
Filed under: plant metagenome
Description: partial contains 5.8S ribosomal RNA, internal transcribed spacer 2, and large subunit ribosomal RNA
Rfam family: 5.8S ribosomal RNA (bases 1-105)
Source: RNAcentral